Molecule: ribosomal RNA, 387 nt
Filed under: uncultured bacterium
Lineage: Bacteria
Description: partial 16S ribosomal RNA
Rfam family: Bacterial small subunit ribosomal RNA
Source: RNAcentral
UGGGGAAUAUUGCACAAUGGGCGCAAGCCUGAUGCAGCCAUGCCGCGUGUGUGAAGAAGGCCUUCGGGUUGUAAAGCACUUUCAGCGAGGAGGAAGGUGGUGAACUUAAUACGUUCAUCAAUUGACGUUACUCGCAGAAGAAGCACCGGCUAACUCCGUGCCAGCAGCCGCGGUAAUACGGAGGGUGCAAGCGUUAAUCGGAAUUACUGGGCGUAAAGCGCACGCAGGCGGUUUGUUAAGUCAGAUGUGAAAUCCCCGGGCUCAACCUGGGAACUGCAUUUGAAACUGGCAAGCUAGAGUCUCGUAGAGGGGGGUAGAAUUCCAGGUGUAGCGGUGAAAUGCGUAGAGAUCUGGAGGAAUACCGGUGGCGAAGGCGGCCCCCCUGGA